UGGGGAAUAUUGGACAAUGGGCGAAAGCCUGAUCCAGCAAUGCCGCGUGGGUGAAGAAGGUUUUCGGAUUGUAAAGCCCUUUCGGCGGGGACGAUGAUGACGGUACCCGCAGAAGAAGCUCCGGCUAACUUCGUGCCAGCAGCCGCGGUAAUACGAAGGGGGCUAGCGUUGCUCGGAAUGACUGGGCGUAAAGGGCGCGUAGGCGGUUUGCACAGUCGGGUGUGAAAUUCCUGGGCUUAACCUGGGGACUGCAUUCGAGACGUGUAGGCUUGAGUGGGGAAGAGGGUCGUGGAAUUCCCAGUGUAGAGGUGAAAUUCGUAGAUAUUGGGAAGAACACCGGUGGCGAAGGCGGCGACCUGGUCCUUUACUGACGCUGAGGCGCGAAAGCGUGGGGAGCAAACAG
Molecule: ribosomal RNA, 403 nt
Filed under: uncultured bacterium
Lineage: Bacteria
Description: bacterial SSU rRNA
Rfam family: Bacterial small subunit ribosomal RNA
Source: RNAcentral